This 461-nucleotide ribosomal RNA is filed under the name uncultured bacterium. RNAcentral's name for it is "bacterial SSU rRNA". It matches the Rfam family "Bacterial small subunit ribosomal RNA", at positions 32 to 501 of the family's 1533-position model. The record is from RNAcentral.
AAUCAACGCUGGCGGCGUGCCUCAGACAUGCAAGUCGAACGAUUAAAGCUCUCUUCGGAGAGUGUAUAGAGUGGCGCACGGGGUGAGUAACACGUAAGUAAUCUACCUUUGAGUGGGGAAUAACCCGGGGAAACCCGAGCUAAUACCGCAUAAUGCAGCGGCACCGCAAGGUGACAGUUGUUAAAGGAGCAAUCCGCUUAAAGAGGAGCUUGCGGCAGAUUAGCUAGNGGUAAGGUAAUGGCUUACCAAGGCUUCGAUCUGUAUCCGGCCUGAGAGGGCGGUCGGACACACUGACACUGAAUAACGGGUCAGACUCCUACGGGAGGCAGCAGUCGGGAAUUUUGGGCAAUGGGCGAAAGCCUGACCCAGCAACGCCGCGUGAAGGAUGAAGUAUUUCGGUAUGUAAACUUCGAAAGAAUGGGAAGAAUCAAUGACGGUACCAUUUAUAAGGUCCGGCUAAC